RNAcentral lists this unclassified non-coding RNA (231 nucleotides) under plant metagenome. RNAcentral describes it as "partial contains small subunit ribosomal RNA, internal transcribed spacer 1, and 5.8S ribosomal RNA". The record is from RNAcentral.
UAUCCGUUGGUGAACCAGCGGAGGGAUCAUUACUGAGUUAACGCUCUACAACCCUUUGUGAACAUACCUAACUGUUGCUUCGGCGGGCAGAGGUCCCUCGCGGAUCUCUCCCGGCAACGCCCUCCCGGGCGGAGCGCCCGCCGGAGGAUACCAAACUCUAUUUUAACGACGUUUCUUCUGAGUGGCACAAGCAAAUAAUUAAAACUUUUAACAACGGAUCUCUUGGUUCUG